Molecule: transfer-messenger RNA, 70 nt
Filed under: Pseudoperonospora cubensis
Lineage: Eukaryota; Oomycota; Peronosporomycetes; Peronosporales; Peronosporaceae
Description: transfer-messenger RNA Psper_cuben_MSU1
Rfam family: Mitochondrion-encoded tmRNA
Source: RNAcentral
UUAUGGACCCAAAGGCAGUAUUUGGUAUUUCCAUUUUCAAUUUUUAUGGGAAUAAUAACAGAAUUGACAU